GCCCAGCACCAGGCUCUGCCUUAGUAGAGCUCCACCCAGGACAUCGUCGAGGAGCUGAUUGACGGCUUCAACUACUCCACCUCCCUAGACAAGGGGCAGAUGCAUCUGGCAACCAACAACAGCCAACCGUGGUCUUGGGAGUCAACUCUGGCACAGGAUGAGACCUGCACAACGCUGACCCCCAAGACAGGCAUAACAGAGAAGCUAGCAGAGGCCCUGGUACCAGCCUUCCUGGAUGGAGACAUCUCCUACAUCACCACCUUCUCAUCCACGUACCAUCGCCACCUUCACCACCACCCAACAGGUCCUGGACCAGGUGUUCCACAGGUGAGUGCCAGCCCCUCCAUAGCACAGUGGUGAGUCUCUCACCUACUAACUGUGUGUCUGUGAAAUGUCAACACACCUCUCUGAGCUUCACUUAUCUCUUCUGAAAAGUGGAGUGGUAGGAAGAUGAACUUCUUAGGGUUAUUGUAGGAAAUCAUGGGAUCAGCCACGGCAGGUGCUUACUUGCUGCCUGGCUCUGCAGAAGGGGCUGCAGGAUGUGCUGUGGUUGCUCACGGUUAUUAUUUCUCUGUCCCCUGUGAAAAGCAGUCGGCCUCUACCAUCACUGGGAUGUGGCCUUUCUGAGUCUGGAAAACAUAUGGAAAAGCACCCUGUCAAGGAGUUUGAGAUUCCAUCCAGCUGGUCUUGGUCCUUGUCCUUGGGGUAGCCAAUUAGGGAUCACUAGGGAAGCAGAGGGGCCCAGGCCCACUCAGACAUCUAGGGUGGUUCUGGUUGGACUUCAUUCACUCAACAAUACAUUAAGUACCUACUAUAUGCAGGACUCUUGGAGACACUUAGCAUAAUGCCAUGAAUGAAGCAGACGCGAUCCCUGGGCCUCAAUUCUGGUCUGUCAGACAGUCACACUCAACACCAUUCGCAGGUCCUGUCCACCAUACAUCCCACGUGAUGCCCUUGUAGCCUCUUCAACAUCUGGAAGCAUCUUCCCAUAUUCUGACCAGGAUGACAGACCAUGGACCACCUGAAAAAGUGAGCGGUGUUUGGGUCCAGAAGGAAGACCUUCUGUUUCUACAGAACAAGGUAGGGGAGUGUACGGGGGCUAUGGCUGGGGUGGACCUAGCAGAAACCUGCUCGCAUCUUUUGAUUCCCAUGAGAGGUUUGAGGUCUGAUGGCUUCCAUUCCAGGAGGACAGGAGUCAAAGAGAAUUGUGGAUGGGUUCCCAGUCCAUCAGGAACCAGAGAGGAGGUUGGGCUGGGUUGUCUCCUAGAGACCCAUCCCCACUACAGUCGCAUCUCGAUCUUCCUCCCCUUCUCCACAUCCACCUCUUUGACCACCACCAGGUCCAGAACAGAAGGUGUGUGAGCAACCUGCUCACAAAUCUGCCUGAGUCCGCAGUCCAGUUGCCCAAGUGCAUGGAGGGCUGAGGUGGGCCUUCUCCAGGCCCUUCGGGAGAAGAGUGUCAGUGGGAGAAGAGACUCACACAGACUCUGUGUUCAACCUGCUGGAUGAACAGGCCUGCCACUGCCAGGACAGCCACACAGGGGUCGGGGCUGAGAUGGGGCUCUCUCCUAGAUGGGAAGGGGCAGGCAUAGGGGCCCAGACCCAAACAAGCGUGCCUUGGGAGGACCGUGUGGAAGGAAAGGCCAGGCCUCUGACUCGGCAGCCCAACUGCCUUCCCCCAGUGCUAUCCUUUCUAUGGUGGGAACCUGGCUGAACCAAGUGCAGGAUUUCUGGGAGCCCCUGCACUUUCCCUAUUUCAAGCUGAAGCUGGCCUAUGUGUGUGUCAAUUUGCCUGGCUUGGACCUGGAGAGCCAUGCUGACCUUCUCUGGGUUCAGCUAGGGCAUCUGGAGCCUACUGAGGCAGAGCUGGAAGGAGAGAGGACUGCAGUCUGGGAAGACUAUCUGUGCUGGGGUGCAGGAGCUGCAGUUCCCUUAAAGGCAGUGGAGUCUUUCUCUUUGGAAAGGCACAAGGAAAGUCAGGUAUGUGGGUGAAACUUCUCUUUAUCCCACUCCAGUGCCAGCUCCAGAGCUCCCGCCAGCUCCAGAGCCAGAGGAAGGCCCAGCUCCUGGGUUAAAGCCAGCUCCAGCUCUAGUUUCCCCACCUGUACUAGAGCUGGAGCGAGCAUGGCCUCCAUCAGCCCCUCCUGGGCUAGAGCAAGCACCACCAUUAAAUUCAGCCCCAGUGCCAGCUCCUGAGCUGGAGCCAGAUGGACGAUGGACUCUCCUGUGACUUACACCUCCAGCUGCAGAAAUAAUAAGAGAGCCAGAUCCAGCCCUGGAGCCCACCUGCUUCUGGGCUGUGACCACCAAGAAACUGCUGAGGGAGGAAAAGCCUAACCUCUUGAAGUUCCCUCCCCAGCUGGUGGCAGAGCAGCUGACGAGGAUGGAUGUGGUGCACAGUGGGGCUCUCAGGGCAGGUGGGGCCUGCCUUCCCUGUGCCGUCAGCUGCCCCAGACCUGCCAUUCCCUGAUCCAGAAUACAAUGAUUUGGGUCCAAAUCCCAGCUCCUCCACUUACCAACCCUAGGACCUGGGCAGCUUUCUUAACCCCCAAGCCUUUGCUGUCCCUACGUGGACAGUAGAGAUGGACACUAUGAGCACCUGCUGCAGAGUGGCUGUGCAGAUGAAUGAGGUACAACAGAGAGGGAGUUGGGCAGUCUGGCCCUUUGGUCGGGGAGGGGAGCUCACUGAAGUGCUGCCAGAUCCUUGGGUCCAUCACCCAUUUGCCCAGGAGGCCUCAACAGCCUCGGCAUUUAUUAGGCACCUGAUAUGUACUUUCCUACAUGGAAGACAAACAAACAAAGCCCAUGGUUGUUGCUGCCUCGGGGGAAUGUGUAUCUGAAUGGGGAGUCAGACAAGAGGGUGAUCAGAAUGGGUGGAAGAUGCCCCUUGACACGGGCAGGUGUGAGCUGUGUUCUGGUCGUUGGAGGAAGUGAGACUGGGCUGGGAGCAAAUGCCUCUUCCCAUCCCCACAGUGUUGUGUCCUGGGUCAUCCUGUGCUGGGUACCCUCAGUGGACAGAGGCAAAAUCCAGGGACUCCCACAAGCCUCAGGUCACAUCCUCAGCUUCCUGAGCUCCAGCUCUGACCACUUACCCUGCCUGGGACUGUGGGAGAACUCUGGACGCUGAGCUGGGGUGUGGUAGGGCCGGGAGACACUCCCCAAUCUCCUCAGGAACCAUUCAAGAAGGCAGUGCCCUGCCAUUACCUGCACAUCAUCUGGUUCUGGCAGGAUGUCAGGGAAAAUGAGUACUUGGCGCCCACCAUCCAUGCCACCCUACACACUUCAUCACUGUGGCCAACUGCAUCAUCACCACUGGCCUCAGGGACCCGAGCAUGAUGACCCAGGACACGGCCAGGGUGGUGGAGCUCUGGAUGCAGAUGGCCAAGGUGUGCUGAGUCCUAAGGAGUUUCUCCUCACUGCAUGCCAUCGUCUCUGCUCUGCAGAACCCCUCGAUUCAUGGUCUGAAGAAGACAGGUUUCCAGGAGGCAACCUCCAUGAUGAUCACCCUGCAGAUCGGCCCCCCAAGGAGCCCAGGAGAGGCAGCAGCAGCACGUGAGGGUACCUGUGGGGGAGGGGCCCAGGAGUCAGAGGAGAGGGGGCUCCCCCCCUCUAAGCUGCAGGUGUCCACCAGGAGAGAGGCCUUCCUCCGCCAGCCCAGCUCCUGGUGCCACAGAGCCUGAAAGGCCUGCAUUUGAAGUGACCAGGAGGAGGUUUGGAAGGGCUGGGUGCAGGAUGGAUUUGGGGUGGGGAGGGGCAGGGACCAUAUACCCUGGGAUUUGCCAAAAGCCAGCCCUGGGAGGUGAGCGGCAUGGUGCCUCUGGAGGGGAGAGGAGGAGAGAAUUGGGGGGAGGCUGCUAAAGGUCCUGCGGUGCUCUAAGUGGGAGCCUGGGGUGGCCAGGAGGCUUGAGUGAGGGAUUUUAGAGGAGGGUCUUUGGGGUCCCCUGAGAGCAGAGGCUCAUCACCACCCCCACCCCAAUGGCACAGGGUGUUGCCCCCUUCCUUGGCACAUAAUUCAGUUACCUGCAGUUGCUGGAAAAUGUGAUGGAGGAUUAUCUGGAGAUGAGUGAGCCUGGAGGUGGGGCCAGGAGAUGAGGAUCCUGAGGUUUGGGAGGAGAGAGCCCCACAGUGAGCCCUGAGCUCUCAGCACUUGGCAAACCUCCUCUCACGAAAGCCUCACAGCCACCCCUGGGAGCCGGGGCCUCAGGACCAUCUUAGCAAUGAAUGAACUGAGGACCCACAUAAGCUGCCAUCCAGCUUCUCUGGGCUGGUGAAGCUCAGAGCUGCCUGACUGCAGAGCUGCAGGAGGUUGUGCCUGAGCUGGACUCAGUCUCUCCCUCAGGCCCCGCUCAUGGAGUGAGUGAAGUCAGGCCCCUCCAAGUCAGGAAAUACAUCAGUGGCUGAGCUGUCCCUUCCUGCCUGAGGCCUCAGUCUCCCCAUCCGUCAUCAGAGAGGGUUGGGUUACAAGGUCUCUGGCCUCGGCUCCCCUGUCCCCCCUGCUGUGGAGCCCAGAGGCUGGUGCAGGUCCCAGUCCUAUUUCCAGAAGUGCCUGCCCCCCAGCAGUAGUGCAACAUGAGAAGAGGUGGGGAUGGGGGCUCGUUAUGGGCUAAGUGAGCUGUUUCUCAUGGACUUUGGCUGUCUGCCUUCCAGAACAAUGUGAUCAACUUUCAGAAAAGGGAUGAGGUAAGCAGCUGUCGCCUCACUGUGGGACAGUGGGGGUGUGAAAAUCAGAGACCCUCUUGGACAAGACCCUCUCUGGCCCCAUCCCUUGGGUCUUAUAUUUAUUGGGAGAGUUAGAUACACAGGGCUGGGGAUCCCAUCACAUUGGCGGGUGGGGGAAGGGGCUGGAUCAAGGACAUUUUCCUGAGGAGGAACUAUUUCAACCCAACGAUGAGCACAGGCAAGUCCUGGAUGGAAUUGGGGGGAAGGAGGGUUCCCAAGUGGGCAAAGACCCCAGACUGGCUCCCUGCCCCUCUCCUCAAUCCCUACAAGACCCCUGCAGGAUCCCCUACCUGCAGGCCCUGUCUGCAUCCUGUCCUUCCUGUGUCCCAGCAAUUGAAAGUAAUUGAAGACAUCUCGCUACUCCAGGAGACUGAGCAUCAUUACAACCUUGAGCCCCAGGAGCAAUUUGGGUCCUGGUUUCAGCCCACGGAGCCCCUUAGUGAGGAUAAGAGUUCACAGGUCCACUCUGUCCUGUAGCUACAGCCUUGUCCUGCCAGCUGGAGCCCCCAUUCCAGUGGGCCAGCAAGAUUUGACUGUUCUUCAAGGCCAAGAAGAACCCUCCAUUUCAAGCUCAGGUCACCAGGCCCUCAGCACAGAGCAUGGACAAGAGGCAGACAACACUCCUGAGACCAGAUCAAGUGGAGCCUCUUCCUCAGUAGUGGGGACACAGCUGAGACACUCAGGGUGCACUGGGCCAGCUUCCACCCUGAUGGGAAGGAGAACAUGGUAAGCCUUCUCCUUGGAUCCCUGAAGCCUGAGAGAGAGAGGACGACCUGCCCCAACUCCCUGACAUCUGCACCCCAGCACCUAUUUACUCACUGGGGAGGGGCAAUACUUACUUGUUGUUAGUAGUAAAUAUUAGAUUUGAAUAUUAUAUUAAAAUCCCGUUUCUUUGAUAGCCUGGGAGUCACGGUAUGGUUCUUUCACUUCCUCAGCUCAUGUAAAUGAGACACAGAAUCUCACAUUCCUCCUCGAAUUAAGGAGUCUCGCGGGGUCACAGCUUACUUUACAAGGGGGAAGUGAAAAGAGCCAGCCCCCUUCCCUGGCUGCUGAAGGACACCCCCAAGUCCCCUUUCCUCAGAGGACAGGGUCAUUUCAGUGUGGUUCACCUGGGCCAGGAGCAGACACAGCCUCUCAGAACUCCUGGGACUUUCACAGACACAGAGACAACCACUGAAAUGUGGGUGUCUUUCAGAUGGCACUUGCCAGGACCAUAUCCUGCUAAGGGACAGUGGCUGCCUUUCUACAGCUUUCGAGGAAGAAGGAAUGUUUUCUGCUUCUCCUGCUGCAGUUUCUUUUGACCAAAUAUUAGGAACUUUUAGUUUUCUAUUUCAGUCUCUGGAUUACAGCAGCACUAAGUGGGGAAAACAAUGUAAAAACUCAAAAUGUGCAUGCGGAGAGGACAAGGUCAGCGGAAGGUCAUUUACAGAUGGACAAGGGCAAGCAGGACUUUCUCUC
This is a non-coding RNA of Equus caballus (horse), 6177 nucleotides long. NCBI's taxonomy places the organism in Eukaryota, Metazoa, Chordata, Mammalia, Perissodactyla, Equidae. The record is from RefSeq and is a predicted model, not a curated record.